Molecule: transfer RNA, 72 nt
Organism: Homo sapiens (human)
Lineage: Eukaryota; Metazoa; Chordata; Mammalia; Primates; Hominidae
Rfam family: tRNA
About the family: Transfer RNA (tRNA) molecules are approximately 80 nucleotides in length.
Source: Rfam
GGGGGUGUAGCUCAGUGGUAGAGCGCGUGCUUCGCAUGUACGAGGCCCCGGGUUCGACCCCCGGCUCCUCCA